Molecule: ribosomal RNA, 393 nt
Filed under: uncultured bacterium
Lineage: Bacteria
Description: partial 16S ribosomal RNA
Rfam family: Bacterial small subunit ribosomal RNA
Source: RNAcentral
CUACGGAGGAUGCAAGCGUUAUCCGGAUUUAUUGGGUUUAAAGGGUGCGUAGGCGGUUUGCUAAGCGGGAGGUGAAAUGCCGGCGCUCAACGUCGGAAGUGCCUCCCGAACUGGUGGACUUGAAUGACUCUGCCGUGGGAGGAAUGUGUAGUGUAGCGGUGAAAUGCUUAGAGAUUACACAGAACACCGAUUGCGAAGGCAUCUCACGAAGGGUUGAUUGACGCUGAGGCACGAAAGCGUGGGGAUCAAACAGGAUUAGAUACCCUGGUAGUCCACGCAGUAAACGAUGAUGGCUAACCGCUGGAUCCAUCGGUUCAGUGGCCAAGCGAAAGCGAUAAGCCAUCCACCUGGGGAGUACGACCGCAAGGUUGAAACUCAAAGGAAUUGGCGGGG